GCGGUGGAGCAUGUGGUUUAAUUCGAAGCAACGCGAAGAACCUUACCAGGUCUUGACAUCCCUGACAACCCGAGAGAUCGGGCGUUCCCCUUCGGGGGACAGGGUGACAGGUGGUGCAUGGUUGUCGUCAGCUCGUGUCGUGAGAUGUUGGGUUAAGUCCCGCAACGAGCGCAACCCUCGACCUUAGUUGCCAGCAUUCAGUUGGGCACUCUAAGGUGACUGCCGGCUAAAAGUCGGAGGAAGGUGGGGAUGACGUCAAAUCAUCAUGCCCCUUAUGACCUGGGCUACACACGUGCUACAAUGGGCGGUACAAAGGGUCGCGAACCCGCGAGGGGGAGCCAAUCCCAAAAAGCCGCUCUCAGUUCGGAUUGCAGGCUGCAACUCGCCUGCAUGAAGCCGGAAUCGCUAGUAAUCGCGGAUCAGCAUGCCGCGGUGAAUACGUUCCCGGGCCUU
This 453-nucleotide ribosomal RNA is filed under the name uncultured Anoxybacillus sp. Its description in RNAcentral is "bacterial SSU rRNA". It matches the Rfam family "Bacterial small subunit ribosomal RNA", at positions 929 to 1382 of the family's 1533-position model. Lineage: Bacteria; Bacillati; Bacillota; Bacilli; Caryophanales; Anoxybacillaceae. The record is from RNAcentral.